This is a long non-coding RNA of Equus caballus (horse), 3299 nucleotides long. NCBI's taxonomy places the organism in Eukaryota, Metazoa, Chordata, Mammalia, Perissodactyla, Equidae. The record is from Ensembl.
CUGACGUUUUAUGGCAACCUGGAGUCCUACUGUGUACAUUAACGGCUGAACUUGUAUACCCCCAGUUUGCUUGGUCAUUGGACGCAGGCUUCACUGAUAAGGGUACGGCUGCGGGUGAAGCAGUUCUAGGCAGAUAAGGCUGACCCUGAAGUUGCUGUCAGCUGGAGGCUCACAGAGCACGAGCACAGCACAGAAUGUGCUGACCACAUUCCUCUCAGCUGAGCAGCAAGGCCAGUCUUGAAGAAGGACCUGGGCAGUGUAUUGCUAUGUUCACCACAGGCCGGUGCUGAGAAACUUGGGGAAGUCCCGUCCGUCGCCCUGCCAAACGAGGAUGGACAGGUUUGACAUGCAGCACUGGGAGUCUAUCAGUGAACAAGCUACGUAUUGUCUCUGCCUUCAUGGAGAUUCCCACCUAUUAUGGGAGACAUACAUCUAAAAAAUAUCAUGGAACUGGCCAAGUUAAUGGAUACCUUGAAUGAUUGCAUCAAGUACAAAGGAUUGGGACAAGUGGACUGAGAUGAAAUUUGACGGAAAUAAAGUGAGAAGUAUGUAGACUUUCGUAAGCUGCUCGUCUUCAUGGGGUUUUGAGAAGGGAAGAUGCCUCUGGUAAUUUCUAAAAUGUUUGACAAAGUGACCUCAGAAUUGGCCUGAAGCCAGCGGAAUAUCCUCCCAAGGGCAGGAUUCAGCCCUUUAAGUCAUCACCCUCUGAAGAGAAGCUGCAGAGAUCCUUCUGAGGGUGUGCAUCAUAAUUACUUGGAAAGCUUGUGAAAUGAAGAAUCUCAAGACUUGCCGACAGUUUCUGGUUUGUCUGGAGCCCGGGAAUCUGCAUUUUAACAAGAAACAAGUUCAUAGUCAUACUGGUGUUGAAGGGCUGUUUCUCCCAGGUAUUGGGGCCUGUGGAAGUUGCCUGAAGAUGGGCCAUAGGCACAAAAUGAAGUCCCAUAAGCAGAAAGAAAGAACAUUUCAGAGGGAACUAGGGAACGUGGUCAGAGAGGUGCGCAAUGAGCAAAACAAAAAGGACACUAAUGAGAUGUGGGAGAAAGCGUGUUAAAAGCUGAAGCGAGAGCUAGAGAGAGUCUUUUUAGCUUAUAACAUCCAGAUUUGCCUGUUGAGAUGAAAUAGAAGACAGGAAAAGGAGAAGAAAUAGAAGAUGACCAAGUUGCUGUUAAAGCAUUUAUUAAAUUAGCCCACACUUCUAGCUAAAUUCCCUGGUCAUUUGAUCAGUCUUAUGUCCCAACAUUUCUCUUUGAGAUACUUAUUGCACCAUAGCAAAAUCAUAAGAAAGUCCUAUCAGAAAUAAAUGACUGAUUGAAUUCAUUGCCCUUAUUCUCAGAAGUUCUACUGAGGUGCCUACCUUCUGUAGAGAGGAAGAUGGAAUUUCAGAGGAGCUGAAAGGAAAUCACAUUCAGAAGAGAUAGGAUCUAAAAUCGCCAGUAGAAAGAUGGAAGCCUGUUAUUCCCUGCCUCAGGAAAGAAAACAUCAAAACUUCAAAGUUCAAGUGCCUAUUUUAAGAGUUUAGAGUUCAAAAUGGCAUCUGGUUAGCCACUGGUGAUUACAAAAUUUCUAUGUAUGGAAGGCUUGGAGGCAGCAAUAGGGUUGGAAGGAAGCCUGAAGUUGGGUUUGCAUAGCAUUUUACAUUAAGUUUGAGAAAGUCAGCUGUUCAUCUCAAAGGAUAAAGGGUGAUGGGGAUUAUUGGUGGUGGCUUAGGGGUGGCUAAAACCAUCCCAGACCCUUUUUUGGUGUGCCAACAAUGAGGCUACUACUCCCUGAGGCAGGCUCACACAAUAUCUCACUAAAACAUCUAUAAAACCACAGGAAAAAUGAAAACAUGAGUCUUAAAGAGACUAAUAAACUGUUGCCUAUGUUCUGGAGGGGACUGGACUGAAUAUGAAGACCUUAAAAUAACCUCUGCACACCCUCCCACCUGAAAUGAAGGAAGGUGGACGUCCCCACCCCUGCAGCCUCUUCGUUUCAAAGCAGACACUUGCUGGUCUACCAAUCCACUCAGUGCCCUUGGGCCAUCCUCGUGAAGGCAUCGGGGAACAUCUGGAUCCCCCCCAUGGCACACGCACGCAUGGGAUGCCAUCUCUGCGCCGCCUCCCUUUGCCAAUGCUGCAUUAUAUCUCUCACCCAGUGUUAAACAUCACAUUGAGCCACUAUAGAUAGGGCUUCUCUAGACCCAGGCGAGCAGUCCACUAACUCCAAGAUCCUCAUUUUCCCUAACACAUUUUCUAGAUGUUUUUUAUUGACCUCCAUGCUAAGGGGAGGAAAGUGAGAUCACUGGGACCUGACUUUAUCCUCUCUCUUCUUUUUCUUCAAACUCCACUAGAAAAAGAACAGAUGGACUGUCAUUCCUUUCUGUGUGACAGGGUUUGCUUACUGAGUUCUCUCUGCUUUAUAUGUGUAGCGGAACUCUAUGAUCAAGUCAGCAGUCACGUGAGAGCUUAGGGAAUUUAGAAACUCCUUUUCUCUCUGGGCAAAGGCCCUUGACAGUCAGAAGCUGACCAUUAAAUGCUUUCUUUCUCUUGCAUUCCUGCUGUUAACAGUCCUAAUUACCCCUGACCCUUAUCCAAGUCAGAUGGAGGGUCAAAAAAGGAAAACCAUACUAAAAUAUUUCCGAAAAUAUUUUUCAUAUUACACAGACAUUCCCCCAGUUUGUCAUUGUUUUGAGCGUUGCUUGUUUUUAUUUAUAGCCAUUUUUAAUUGUUAUGUGAUUCCCUUAUUGAAUAAGGGAGCAGACUGCCGCCUCAGGACUGUCGCACUUAGCUUCCCUUCAAUCUGCAAUGCUCACCCUCACCCCAUCUUCAUCUCCUUAUCUGCUCUCCUCAGGUCUCUGUUCAAAUGCCAUCCUUACAAAAGGUCUUUCCUGACCAUUCCAUCUCAAAUAAGCACUCCCCUAAUUACUUUGCAUUCACUUUUCUCUAAUCUUCUUCAUAGCACUUAUUACCACCUGACGUAUUAUUUGUUUAUUGGUUGAUUUUGUCUCCUCCCAUUGGAAUGUAAGCUCCUUGAAGGAGAGGUAUAUUUUGUUAACUGUCAUAUCCCCAAGGUCUAAACUUGGACUUUUCUGCAUUUAUUAAGAUGUAUCUUUUUCCUCCUUUGACCUCAUUUUGGGAUGACUUAUGAAUAAAAUUACAAAUCAUUUUUAAAUUCCUAGAAGUAAUUUUAUGUAGUUAUUUUGAAAACGUAUAAUAUUGCCAUCUGUUUUAUAAUGUUGCUUUUAGAAUAUUUUCAUCUAUAUUUAUAAGUCAAUUGAUUUGUACUCUCUUUUACUGUAUUAAAAUCUGUAUUAAAAUCUU